Long non-coding RNA from Syngnathus acus (greater pipefish), 122 nucleotides. RefSeq lists it as uncharacterized. Lineage: Eukaryota; Metazoa; Chordata; Actinopteri; Syngnathiformes; Syngnathidae. The record is from RefSeq and is a predicted model, not a curated record. The transcript is spliced from 3 exons.
GUUAUGCAGAGAUGGAUAGUCACGGUGGGGAGUGGGGGGCGCGAAUAGUUUUCUUCUUGCUAGGGGGGGCGUAACAGAAAAUAAUUGAGAAGCACUGAUUUGGACUGAAGCAUGGUGGUACA